CCCCGGCCGGCCGCAUCACCACGCCUGCAGAUGCUGCUGUUUGCAGAAGCUCAGUCCGCUUUCCCCGGGCCACGGAUGCAGCCAAGGAUGGAGCUACCGCAUCAGCAGUCAGUCACAGGCCUGGCGGAGAGCGCAGGAGCCGGGCCCCUGCUCCACAACUGAGGUGUCCAUCGAGCGUCCAGUCAUGAACCCGGCCCAGCCGAGUCCCCGCGCGGAUGACAGAGUGCAGAGACCAAGGCGGCGGCGAGAAUGGCAUGCGGCAUGCGAACUCGAAGACGCACCCAGGGAUCCAUAACUAAAUGCCGAUGUACAACCGUUUGUUUCCUGUCUUCCUGUUAAAGCAGCACCUACCUUGAUCACCGUGACAAAUCCAUUGCAAUUCGGAAAUGCACUCGGGGCUGGGGACAUGGCUCAGCAGUUGAAGCUCUUGGUGCUCAAGCAGAAGAAUUAGAUCUCCCAAAGUCCACAAAAAUCCCAGG
Molecule: non-coding RNA, 479 nt
Organism: Cricetulus griseus (Chinese hamster)
Lineage: Eukaryota; Metazoa; Chordata; Mammalia; Rodentia; Cricetidae
Source: RefSeq, a predicted model, not a curated record